AGCAGCCCGAAUCAGGCUAUGCCCUUGAACCUAGUUCAAGGGCGAUAGAAGAGAGAGCGAUGGGGAUCAGCGGCCCGGGAGCAUUAAACAGAGCAGCUAAGCCAAGAGGGGGUUCAGAGAAAGAAAUUCCCGCAACGGAGGAGCAUGCGCCCCGGACAUAGUGAUCUAGUGAUUUUUUUAGUUUUGAAAGAAAAAGUGAGUGGGAUGAGGAUGGAGUAGUGGCCAUCACCCGAUAAAAGAUAAAUAAAUCUGUGAUUCCAGGGGAUCAAGAUCAGUCAAACACCAGGAACUUUAGAGCUGACCAGCGGGACGGAAAGUAGACCCAAAAAGCACCAGAGGAAUAGGCCACAGCUCCGCCAUCCUGGCUUGGUUUUGCUGGUCUCGAAGAAACUAUCCUGGCCACGUAGUGCGGGUCCCUCGCCCAUUAAGGGAGAGAACAAAAAUCAUCAAUUAACUUAUUUACUCCCAUUAUUUAUUUUUGUUAGACGUCUCCAUUUAUAUGUAUAUGUUAGUCCCCUAAUUUAAGUCCGUCCAUAUAAUAUCUAUAUGUAACUUAUUUAUAUUUAUUAUAUUAAUUAUUUCUAUUUAUCUAUUUAUUUAUUAACCGCCCGUAGUGAUAAGAUGAGGGGGGUAUGAAUAGGCAGGCUUAGUGUAGCGAUGAUACCGUGUAAAAUUAGGAAAUUGAAGUGAAAAUUAUAACGAAGAAAAUGAA
Drosophila miranda is the source of this 712-nucleotide long non-coding RNA. RefSeq lists it as uncharacterized. The transcript is spliced from 2 exons. The record is from RefSeq and is a predicted model, not a curated record. NCBI's taxonomy places the organism in Eukaryota, Metazoa, Arthropoda, Insecta, Diptera, Drosophilidae.